GUGUACGUACAAGCAGUGGGAGCCUUCGUAAGAGGGUGACUGCGUACCUUUUGUAUAAUGGGUCAGCGACUUAUAUUCUGUAGCAAGGUUAACCGUAUAGGGGAGCCGAAGGGAAACCGAGUCUUAAUUGGGCGUUAAGUUGCAGGGUAUAGACCCGAAACCCGGUGAUCUAGCCAUGGGCAGGUUGAAGGUUGGGUAACACUAACUGGAGGACCGAACCGACUAAUGUUGAAAAAUUAGCGGAUGACCUGUGGCU
This 256-nucleotide ribosomal RNA is filed under the name Cronobacter sakazakii. Its description in RNAcentral is "partial 23S ribosomal RNA". It matches the Rfam family "Bacterial large subunit ribosomal RNA", at positions 558 to 816 of the family's 2925-position model. Lineage: Bacteria; Pseudomonadati; Pseudomonadota; Gammaproteobacteria; Enterobacterales; Enterobacteriaceae. The record is from RNAcentral.